This 67-nucleotide transfer RNA is filed under the name Marmota monax (woodchuck). RNAcentral describes it as "tRNA.Ala". Lineage: Eukaryota; Metazoa; Chordata; Mammalia; Rodentia; Sciuridae. The record is from RNAcentral.
GUGCAGUUCAGUGGUAGAGCAUUCACCUAGCAUGUGCAAAGUCUUGGGUUCAAUCCCCAGUGCCACA